RNAcentral lists this ribosomal RNA (473 nucleotides) under uncultured organism. RNAcentral's name for it is "partial 16S ribosomal RNA". It matches the Rfam family "Bacterial small subunit ribosomal RNA", at positions 332 to 797 of the family's 1533-position model. The record is from RNAcentral.
UACACUCCUACGGGAGGCAGCAGUAGGGAAUCUUCCACAAUGGGUGCAAACCUGAUGGAGCAAUGCCGCGUGAGUGAAGAAGGUCUUCGGAUCGUAAAGCUCUGUUGUUAGAGAAGAACACGUGCUAGGUAACUACUAGCGCCUUGACGGUAUCUAACCAGAAAGUCACGGCUAACUACGUGCCAGCAGCCGCGGUAAUACGUAGGUGACAAGCGUUGUCCGGAUUUAUUGGGCGUAAAGGGAGCGCAGGCGGUCUGUUUAGUCUAAUGUGAAAGCCCACGGCUUAACCGUGGAACGGCAUUGGAAACUGACAGACUUGAAUGUAGAAGAGGAAAAUGGAAUUCCAAGUGUAGCGGUGGAAUGCGUAGAUAUUUGGAGGAACACCAGUGGCGAAGGCGAUUUUCUGGUCUAACAUUGACGCUGAGGCUCGAAAGCGUGGGGAGCGAACAGGAUUAGAAACCCGUGUAGUCCCA